RNAcentral lists this ribosomal RNA (666 nucleotides) under Salmonella enterica subsp. enterica serovar Muenchen. Its description in RNAcentral is "partial 23S ribosomal RNA". It matches the Rfam family "Bacterial large subunit ribosomal RNA", at positions 1 to 700 of the family's 2925-position model. Lineage: Bacteria; Pseudomonadati; Pseudomonadota; Gammaproteobacteria; Enterobacterales; Enterobacteriaceae. The record is from RNAcentral.
GGGUUGUGAGGUUAAGCGACUAAGCGUACACGGUGGAUGCCUUGGCAGUCAGAGGCGAUGAAGGGCGUGCUAAUCUGCGAUAAGCGCCGGUAAGGUGAUAUGAACCGUUAUAACCGGCGAUACCCGAAUGGGGAAACCCAGUGUGACUCGUCACACUAUCAUUAACUGAAUCCAUAGGUUAAUGAGGCGAACCGGGGGAACUGAAACAUCUAAGUACCCCGAGGAAAAGAAAUCAACCGAGAUUCCCCCAGUAGCGGCGAGCGAACGGGGAGGAGCCCAGAGCCUGAAUCAGCAUGUGUGUUAGUGGAAGCGUCUGGAAAGGCGCGCGAUACAGGGUGACAGCCCCGUACACAAAAGCGCAUGUGCUGUGAGCUCGAUGAGUAGGGCGGGACACGUGGUAUCCUGUCUGAAUAUGGGGGGACCAUCCUCCAAGGCUAAAUACUCCUGACUGACCGAUAGUGAACCAGUACCGUGAGGGAAAGGCGAAAAGAACCCCGGCGAGGGGAGUGAAAAAGAACCUGAAACCGUGUACGUACAAGCAGUGGGAGCACCCUUUGGGGUGUGACUGCGUACCUUUUGUAUAAUGGGUCAGCGACUUAUAUUCUGUAGCAAGGUUAACCGAAUAGGGGAGCCGGAGGGAAACCGAGUCUUAACCGGGCGUUAAGU